UUAAAUUGAAGAGUUUGAUCAUGGCUCAGAUUGAACGCUGGCGGCAGGCCUAACACAUGCAAGUCGAACGGUAGCACAGAGAGCUUGCUC
RNAcentral lists this ribosomal RNA (90 nucleotides) under Salmonella enterica subsp. enterica serovar Infantis. RNAcentral's name for it is "partial 16S ribosomal RNA". It matches the Rfam family "Bacterial small subunit ribosomal RNA", at positions 1 to 85 of the family's 1533-position model. The record is from RNAcentral. RNAcentral also lists the same sequence under 11 other names. Lineage: Bacteria; Pseudomonadati; Pseudomonadota; Gammaproteobacteria; Enterobacterales; Enterobacteriaceae.